This 58-nucleotide transfer RNA is filed under the name Salmo salar (Atlantic salmon). It matches the Rfam family "tRNA", at positions 8 to 63 of the family's 71-position model. From Rfam's summary of the family: Transfer RNA (tRNA) molecules are approximately 80 nucleotides in length. Lineage: Eukaryota; Metazoa; Chordata; Actinopteri; Salmoniformes; Salmonidae. The record is from Rfam by way of RNAcentral.
UGGCUCAGUUGGUAGAGCAUGGUGCUUGCAAUGCGAGGGUUGUGGGUUCGAUUCCCAC